CUUUGGACUUCUGCCUAGGAA
Molecule: non-coding RNA, 21 nt
Filed under: Rattus norvegicus (Norway rat)
Lineage: Eukaryota; Metazoa; Chordata; Mammalia; Rodentia; Muridae
Source: RNAcentral